GAGUGGACGCAUCACUGGUGUUCGGGUUGUCAUGCCAAUGGCACUGCCCGGUAGCUAAAUGCGGAAGAGAUAAGUGCUGAAAGCAUCUAAGCACGAAACUUGCCCCGAGAUGAGUUCUCCCUGAGACUUUAAGUCUCCUGAAGGAACGUUGAAGACGACGACGUUGAUAGGUCGGGUGUGUAAGCGCAGCGAUGCGUUGAGCUAACCGAUACUAAUGAACCGUGAGGCUUAACCUUACAACGCCGAAGGUGUUU
This 254-nucleotide ribosomal RNA is filed under the name Enterobacter hormaechei. Its description in RNAcentral is "partial 23S ribosomal RNA". It matches the Rfam family "Bacterial large subunit ribosomal RNA", at positions 2695 to 2925 of the family's 2925-position model. Lineage: Bacteria; Pseudomonadati; Pseudomonadota; Gammaproteobacteria; Enterobacterales; Enterobacteriaceae. RNAcentral also lists the same sequence under 3 other names. The record is from RNAcentral.